CUACUUAAACAGAAUUAGACUCAAUUACAUUAUGAACCAAACAAUAAGAUAUGAACAUCAUGAAAGAGAUACAGCUUAUGGCAUAACAUUACCUUCAUUUCAUCUUCAAAUUGAACCUUACAUCAUGAGAUAUUAAGAACUUGUACCUGUGAUUGAAGGAAUAAAGAAACAAUGAAGGAUCAUUCGUGCUAACAGCAGAAAUCGAC
This 206-nucleotide long non-coding RNA is filed under the name Nicotiana benthamiana. RNAcentral's name for it is "long non-coding RNA (NBEN_LNC036204)". The record is from RNAcentral. Lineage: Eukaryota; Viridiplantae; Streptophyta; Magnoliopsida; Solanales; Solanaceae.